GUGCCAGCUUUGGCAGCACACAUACUAAAAUUGGGAUGAUACAAAGAAGAUUAGCAUGGCCCCUGCACAAGGAAGACACACAAAUUCGUGAACUGUUCCAUAUUUUU
This 107-nucleotide small nuclear RNA is filed under the name Propithecus coquereli (Coquerel's sifaka). Lineage: Eukaryota; Metazoa; Chordata; Mammalia; Primates; Indriidae. The record is from RNAcentral.